ACGCUGGCGGCAGCCCUUACACAUGCAAGUCGAGCGAGAAAGUUUCUUCGGAAACGAGUAAAGCGGCGGACGGGUGAGUAACGCGUAGGAAUCUACCAUUCAGUGGGGGAUAGCUCGGGGAAACCCGAAUUAAUACCGCAUAUACCCUAAGGGGGAAAGAGGGCCUAUCCUUGGAAGCUCUUGCUGUUUGAUGAGCCUGCGUGAGAUUAGUUUGUUGGUGAGGUAAUGGCUCACCAAGGCUACGAUCUCUAGCUGGUCUGAGAGGACGAUCAGCCACACUGGGACUGAGACACGGCCCAGACUCCUACGGGAGGCAGCAGUGGGGAAUAUUGGACAAUGGGGGCAACCCUGAUCCAGGCAUGCCGCGUGUGUGAAGAAGGCCUUCGGGUUGUAAAGCACUUUAGGUAAGGAAGAAAAGUUAUUGGUUAAUACCCAAUGACCAUGACAUUACUUACAGAAUAAGGACCGGCUAACUCCG
This 478-nucleotide ribosomal RNA is filed under the name uncultured Pseudomonadota bacterium. Its description in RNAcentral is "bacterial SSU rRNA". It matches the Rfam family "Bacterial small subunit ribosomal RNA", at positions 33 to 505 of the family's 1533-position model. Lineage: Bacteria; Pseudomonadati; Pseudomonadota. The record is from RNAcentral.